GCUAGGCGUGGUGGCGGGCGCCUGUGAUCCCAACUACUCAGGAGGCUGGGGCAGCAGAAUCGCUUGAACCCGGGAGGCGAAGGUUGCAGUGAGC
Homo sapiens (human) is the source of this 94-nucleotide microRNA precursor. NCBI's taxonomy places the organism in Eukaryota, Metazoa, Chordata, Mammalia, Primates, Hominidae. The record is from Ensembl.